UCAGACGGCAGUGCUGGUCGUUUCCUCACUGGUUUGGGGUGAUUCAGGGAUUGGAUGAGUCUCUAUGGUUUGUUUUGCCCUGAAGAGCAGAAGGCUUCUGUCCCAACUGGUGUUGCCAAAGCAACAUAUUAAUUCCAUGCCAUGAUCCUGGGUCAAGAUCUGCACAAUCUGAUUGGGCAUGUCACCUCGGAUGGCAAGGGAGUGGAAGUGGUCAAAAUCAUGGAGUCCUAGCUUUCGGAGACGCCUUGCAGCUGCCCGGUAACACUUCCAGGGUUGGGGCUCCACAAGGAGGUAGCGGCAGAGGGAGGAAAGAUGGGCCAGGAACUCCCAUAGGCCAUGGUCUCCAUGAUUCAGAUGAAUCCACAUGGUUAUUGACAUGCAGAAGCCAAUGUCAAAAACUGAACGUCCAAAUUGGCUUAAGAAAGAGCUCAAGAGAACCUUCCGGGUCCUUUGAUUCAUGAAGUCCAGGGUGAUAAAAGUCAAGGCAUCAGGAAAAGGACAUUCUUUUUCGGCUCGCUUCACCAGGACUGGAUCUAUGUCGCAGCAGAGGAGACGGAAUUCUCUUGAGGCAUCUGAGCAGGUCUCCCCGUCAGGUAGGGAGAGGAAGUGUUUGUAUAGAGCCACACUCAGAUCCUAGAGGAAUCCAAAACAGCUUUGUCACUGCAGUUCUCAAUCAGUGAAUGGAAGAGAAAUCUGUAUCAUUCUCCCACUGAGAAUGCCACUUACCUCUGGCUGUAUAGGAUGUGAGGUUCC
This 753-nucleotide long non-coding RNA is filed under the name Pan troglodytes (chimpanzee). RNAcentral's name for it is "long non-coding RNA NONPTRT003902". Lineage: Eukaryota; Metazoa; Chordata; Mammalia; Primates; Hominidae. The record is from RNAcentral.